This 490-nucleotide ribosomal RNA is filed under the name uncultured bacterium. RNAcentral describes it as "partial 16S ribosomal RNA". It matches the Rfam family "Bacterial small subunit ribosomal RNA", at positions 29 to 505 of the family's 1533-position model. The record is from RNAcentral.
AGUGAACGCUGGCGGUAGGCCUAACACAUGCAAGUCGAACGGCAGCACAGUAAGAGCUUGCUCUUACGGGUGGCGAGUGGCGGACGGGUGAGGAAUACAUCGGAAUCUACUUUUUCGUGGGGGAUAACGUAGGGAAACUUACGCUAAUACCGCAUACGACCUACGGGUGAAAGCAGGGGAUCUUCGGACCUUGCGCGAUUGAAUGAGCCGAUGUCGGAUUAGCUAGUUGGCGGGGUAAAGGCCCACCAAGGCGACGAUCCGUAGCUGGUCUGAGAGGAUGAUCAGCCACACUGGAACUGAGACACGGUCCAGACUCCUACGGGAGGCAGCAGUGGGGAAUAUUGGACAAUGGGCGCAAGCCUGAUCCAGCCAUACCGCGUGGGUGAAGAAGGCCUUCGGGUUGUAAAGCCCUUUUGUUGGGAAAGAAAAGCAGCAGGUUAAUACCCCGCUGUUCUGACGGUACCCAAAGAAUAAGCAUCGGCUAACUUCG